This 774-nucleotide ribosomal RNA is filed under the name uncultured Neocallimastigales. Its description in RNAcentral is "partial large subunit ribosomal RNA". It matches the Rfam family "Eukaryotic large subunit ribosomal RNA", at positions 24 to 643 of the family's 3401-position model. The record is from RNAcentral. Lineage: Eukaryota; Fungi; Neocallimastigomycota; Neocallimastigomycetes; Neocallimastigales.
UAUGUGAUCGUCUCUCGCAUAUCAAUAAGCGGAGGAAAAGAAACUAACAAGGAUUCCCCUAGUAACGGCGAGUGAAGCGGGAAGAGCUCAAAUUUGAAAUCUUAAAGGGUUUCCCUUUACGAAUUGUAGUUUAAAGAAGUGUUUUCUGUUGAGGUUUUGGUAAAAGUUCUUUGGAAUAGGACAUCAUAGAGGGUGAGAAUCCCGUAUUUGACCUUUACUUUCAACUUUGUGAUACACUUUCAAAGAGUCGGAUUGUUUGGGAAUGCAGUCCAAAAUGGGUGGUAAAUUUCAUCUAAAGCUAAAUAUUGGCGAGAGACCGAUAGCGAACAAGUACCGUGAGGGAAAGAUGAAAAGAACUUUGAAAAGAGAGCUAAACAGUACGUGAAAUUGUCAAAAGGGAAGCGUUUGACACCAGUGUUGUUUUUCUGAAAAUCAAUUAAAGAACUGUUUAUGCUAAGUUGUUUAGACUUUAUCAGCUAACUGUUUAGUUUUGAGCUUUUCUUUAAUGCACUUUUCAGUUAACAGGUCAACAUCAAUUUCUUUUGCUGUAAAAAAGCUUGAGGAAGGUGGCUUGAGAUUCGUCUUAAGUGUUUAUAGCCUCUUGCCUAUGCAGUCGGAGAGAUUGAGGUCUGCAGCGUAGAUCCUUCGGGGCUAAAUGCAUUUGUGCUAAGUUAUAGCAUUUUAUAGACAACUUGUUGACUAUGAUUUGUCUUGUAGCUUACUCGCUUAUGUUAUUUUACCUACGCUUAGGAUGUUGACACACGCGCGUGCUCG